Molecule: long non-coding RNA, 130 nt
Organism: Sebastes umbrosus (honeycomb rockfish)
Lineage: Eukaryota; Metazoa; Chordata; Actinopteri; Perciformes; Sebastidae
Exons: 2
Source: RefSeq, a predicted model, not a curated record
GAAAACAGAGCCACGAGGAGGUGCAGAAGUCUAGUUUUCUCUCAGAACACUUGAAUUAUUAUAUGCUGAAAGGUUAUUAUGGAAUUUUUGCCCAAUGAAGCCCAAAACAUUCUGCCCACUGCCUCUUUAA